GAGUGGCCCUCCGAGACUUAGACAUUCAAGUCAACCAUUCUUGUCUUUUUUUCCUUCACCUUGGAAGCCACGAAACGUUUUUGUCAGCUGAAUGGAGAGUAAAAAGCAAACGAGGAGACAGAGAGUCUACUCACUGGGCUGCCGACACGACCUCCUUAUCUUCAUCACCAGUGCCUCAUUGUGUAUCAAGAAGGCAGAAUGGGCAAACCAUUGGGGAACAGGAACAUGGGGCUAUCAAAAUCUGUAGAAGAGAGAGCCUUGUCGAAGAAGAUGGAGGAUGAUCAAAAGAAGCUGCCAGCUGGUCCAGCCCCUUAUUUUCACAAGGAUUGCAUAUCGAAUAUCCUUAUUUGGCUGCCUCUUGAAUCACUUCCAAGUUCAAGAUUUGUGUGUAAGCCAUGGUACAAUAUAAUUAACAGCCGAACUUUCAUCGAUUCACAUUUCCGUCGCUCUGAAUCUGUUUUGAUCUUUCUAAAAUCAGUCUCAAGAGGAAGAUCAUACCCUUAUUCAAGACCAGACCCUUUUUCUAUGACAUCAAUGCCAGAGGAACAAGGUAAUACCUUUUCAGUUGAAGUAGCUUUGCUUCAAUCGAACUUAAAAACUGUCCCCAUUUUUGGGCCCCAUGUCACUGGCAGCUCAUCAAAAUUCUUUAUCCAGUUCAUGGAAUUUAAAGAAGGAAAGAUCAAGGUAGGGAAGUAUAAUGUUAGCUGCCUGGGAAACAUUAGAGCUACAUGCAAUGGCCUUAUUUUGCUUGAUAACCAUGUGAAGAAAGGACUGAUAGUCAUGAAUCCCGUGACACGGAAGCUCAUUACACUUCCUCUUGGUACUUUGUGUAAUUAUCACAAGGAGUCCUAUGGCUUUGCAUUGAAUCAUGUCACCGGAGACUAUAAGUUGGUGCACCUUUUUCGGGAUGAGUUUGAGUAUGUCACCUGUGAGACACUAGAUCUUGCGACAAGAUCAUGGAGGGCAGUGAAUGGACCUUCAUUUGGCCUAUUUAAUUGGUUCGGGCAUGCACCUGUUUCUGCAAUUGGAGCUCUGCAUUGGAUUCCGCAGCUUGAUAAUAGUGAUUUCAUAGUGUCAAUGGAAGUGGAGAACGAAAGAUUUCAUUGCAUACCGCUACCCCACCGUUGUACUACUCAUGACAGGGUUAUGGAGAUGGGUGGUCUCUUAUGUUUUGUCACACAUGAAGACUUGAACAUUGAUAUUUGGAACUUGAAGAGUGUGCCUGAAGGCAUUUGGACAAAGCAAUAUAGCAUCACUAAAGGUAGCUUAAUUGACAUGGUUCCGCUUUUUAGUUUAAGAAUCAGUGGAGAUGUAAUUUUCAGGAGGAAGGAAGAUGGCUCAUUCCAUGCUUAUGACUUUAAAUCUGAAGUGAUGAGAGAGUUUGAGAUGGACAAAGAACGCAACCUAUCAUCUGGCGCAUACCUGCCUCAUGUAAACAGCCUUCUCUCAUGGACACCAAGUCAUCAUGUGUCUGAUUGACUUCCCUGUUGGCUGGUACCAGUAAAGGGAGUGACGAUGACAUAUAUAUAUCAUCUAAUCAUAUAGCUAUAUAGUUUGUGGGUUACUUCUCCGUUUCUGCGCUUUUAUUUUGUGUAUACUACUGAUGGAAGAACUAUAUAUAUAUACAUACACACACACCCUGGGAUGUGAAAUAUGUAGUACAAUGUUGAUGAAAUGUAAUUGAGCACUCCUCCUGCAAUCAGCGUCCUGUCAACUGGAUGUAGGUCGAACCAGCUCAUAUCCUAGUCUAAAAGCAGAAGGUUGGAUCAAAGUUUAAUGGGUUCUAUCUGAUGUGGUGACUGGUGAUGAUGAGAAUCGAUCAAAAACUGCUGAAAUGAACGUGUAUUCACACACCUGACAGUAACAUUUGUCGUAAACAAUUUCAGGAACUUUAUGUGAACGAUGGACACUCUAUAUGUAUCAAGUAAAGAAAACAAGUUGAGAAGGCGAAUGCCCCUUCAAGGUCUACCCAAUCCACCAAGCAGGCGUGAAUCAAAGAAAGUUAAAUCUAUUUUAUAGACUAUUAAUCACAAUUAAGAUUUUGUGCUCAAUAAUUUAUCAAUUUAAUAGGCGUGGCUUUAUUUUUUUCUAUAAAAUAA
This is an RNA transcript of Populus trichocarpa (black cottonwood), 2099 nucleotides long. RefSeq lists it as uncharacterized. The record is from RefSeq and is a predicted model, not a curated record. Lineage: Eukaryota; Viridiplantae; Streptophyta; Magnoliopsida; Malpighiales; Salicaceae. The transcript has 3 exons.